Non-coding RNA from Schizosaccharomyces pombe (fission yeast), 463 nucleotides. Lineage: Eukaryota; Fungi; Ascomycota; Schizosaccharomycetes; Schizosaccharomycetales; Schizosaccharomycetaceae. The record is from the annotation of a GenBank genome assembly.
UUUUUCUUUUUCCAUCACAUCAUUGUUUUUAGUUUAUCGCAUUUUUUUUAUAGGUACAUAGUCAUAGUUUUAAUUAUUUUAAUUUCAACUACUUUUCGUAGUUGUUUCCUCGCCUACCCUGCCGGGUUGUUCUUUUUUGGCGGAUUUUUUCGUUUUCAAAGCUAGCUUGUUUCCAUCUUUCCAAUUCAUUAUUUAAUUGUUUUGCGCAAUUCGCUGCAUGUCAGUAUGGAUCUGAAAAAAAUGUGGGUAAGAAAGGAGGAAGGAGGAAGGAGGAAGGGGGAGAAGGAAGCCUUGAGUGGGACGGGUAAAGUUCGUUGUGGGGGGUUGUUAGUGUGGAAGGAUGAGUAAGCGUAUAACCUUUGAAACAGAUGAAAUACCUAAGAGAAAAAUAGCGUGAAGUAAAGGGCUAUGUGUUGUCAAAACAUAGCGAAACGUAGUGAAUAAUGUUAAAGAGAAUGGUUUU